Molecule: ribosomal RNA, 497 nt
Filed under: uncultured bacterium
Lineage: Bacteria
Description: partial 16S ribosomal RNA
Rfam family: Bacterial small subunit ribosomal RNA
Source: RNAcentral
GAUGAACGCUGGCGGCGUGCCUAAUACAUGCAAGUCGAGCGAACGGACGAGAAGCUUGCUUCUCUGAUGUUAGCGGCGGACGGGUGAGUAACACGUGGAUAACCUACCUAUAAGACUGGGAUAACUUCGGGAAACCGGAGCUAAUACCGGAUGAUAUUUUGAACCGCAUGGUUCAAAGGUGAAAGACGGUCUUGCUGUCACUCAUAGAUGGAUCCGCGCUGCAUUAGCUAGUUGGUAAGGUAACGGCUUACCAAGGCAACGAUGCAUAGCCGACCUGAGAGGGUGAUCGGCCACACUGGAACUGAGACACGGUCCAGACUCCUACGGGAGGCAGCAGUAGGGAAUCUUCCGCAAUGGGCGAAAGCCUGACGGAGCAACGCCGCGUGAGUGAUGAAGGUCUUCGGAUCGUAAAACUCUGUUAUUAGGGAAGAACAUAUGUGUAAGUAACUGUGCACAUCUUGACGGUACCUAAUCAGAAAGCCACGGCUAACUACGUG